GACGAACGCUGGCGGCGUGCUUAACACAUGCAAGUCGAACGGAAAGGCCCUGCUUUUGUGGGGUGCUCGAGUGGCGAACGGGUGAGUAACACGUGAGUAACCUGCCCUUGACUUUGGGAUAACUUCAGGAAACUGGGGCUAAUACCGGAUAGGAGCUCCUGCUGCAUGGUGGGGGUUGGAAAGUUUCGGCGGUUGGGGAUGGACUCGCGGCUUAUCAGCUUGUUGGUGGGGUAGUGGCUUACCAAGGCUUUGACGGGUAGCCGGCCUGAGAGGGUGACCGGCCACAUUGGGACUGAGAUACGGCCCAGACUCCUACGGGAGGCAGCAGUGGGGAAUAUUGCACAAUGGGCGGAAGCCUGAUGCAGCAACGCCGCGUGCGGGAUGACGGCCUUCGGGUUGUAAACCGCUUUCGCCUGUGACGAAGCGUGAGUGACGGUAAUGGGUAAAGAAGCACCGGCUAACUACGUGCCAGCAGCCGCGGUGAUACGUAGGGUGCGAGCGUUGUCCGGAUUUAUUGGGCGUAAAGGGCUCGUAGGUGGUUGAUCGCGUCGGAAGUGUAAUCUUGGGGCUUAACCCUGAGCGUGCUUUCGAUACGGGUUGACUUGAGGAAGGUAGGGGAGAAUGGAAUUCCUGGUGGAGCGGUGGAAUGCGCAGAUAUCAGGAGGAACACCAGUGGCGAAGGCGGUUCUCUGGGCCUUUCCUGACGCUGAGGAGCGAAAGCGUGGGGAGCGAACAGGCUUAGAUACCCUGGUAGUCCACGCUGUAAACGGUGGGUACUAGGUGUGGGGUCCAUUCCACGGGUUCCGUGCCGUAGCUAGCGCUUUAAGUACCCCGCCUGGGGAGUACGGCCGCAAGGCUAAAACUCAAAGGAAUUGACGGGGCCCCGCACAAGCGGCGGAGCAUGCGGAUUAAUUCGAUGCAACGCGUAGAACCUUACCUGGGUUUGACAUGGAUCGGGAGUGCUCAGAGAUGGGUGUGCCUCUUUUGGGGUCGGUUCACAGGUGGUGCAUGCCUGUCGUCAGCUCGUGUCGUGAGAUGUUGGGUUAAGUCCCGCAACGAGCGCAACCCUUGUUCACUGUUGCCAGCACGUUAUGGUGGGGACUCAGUGGAGACCGCCGGGGUCAACUCGGAGGAAGGUGGGGAUGACGUCAAGUCAUCAUGCCCCUUAUGUCCAGGGCUUCACGCAUGCUACAAUGGCUGGUACAGAGAGUGGCGAGCCUGUGAGGGUGAGCGAAUCUCGGAAAGCCGGUCUCAGUUCGGAUUGGGGUCUGCAACUCGACCUCAUGAAGUCGGAGUCGCUAGUAGUCGCAGAUCAGCAACGCUGCGGUGAAUACGUUCCCGGGGCU
RNAcentral lists this ribosomal RNA (1346 nucleotides) under uncultured bacterium. Its description in RNAcentral is "partial 16S ribosomal RNA". It matches the Rfam family "Bacterial small subunit ribosomal RNA", at positions 28 to 1381 of the family's 1533-position model. The record is from RNAcentral.